GCCAGCAUGGUGUGGUGGUUUAAAUGUUGGACUGCAACUCUGGAGACCAGGGUUCAAUUUCCUGCUCGGCCA
Phrynosoma platyrhinos (Desert horned lizard) is the source of this 72-nucleotide non-coding RNA. The record is from the annotation of a GenBank genome assembly. Lineage: Eukaryota; Metazoa; Chordata; Lepidosauria; Squamata; Phrynosomatidae.